This 468-nucleotide ribosomal RNA is filed under the name uncultured bacterium. RNAcentral's name for it is "partial 16S ribosomal RNA". It matches the Rfam family "Bacterial small subunit ribosomal RNA", at positions 28 to 507 of the family's 1533-position model. The record is from RNAcentral.
GACGAACGCUGGCGGCGUGCUUAACACAUGCAAGUCGAACGGAAAGGCCCUGCUUUUGUGGGGUGCUCGAGUGGCGAACGGGUGAGUAACACGUGAGUAACCUGCCCUUGACUUUGGUAUAACUUCAGGAAACUGGGGCUACUACCGGAUAGGAGCUCCUGCUGCAUGGUGGGGGUUGGAACGUUUCGGCGGUUGGGGAUGGACUCGCGGCUUAUCAGCUUGUUGGUGGGGUAGUGGCUUACCAAGGCUUUGACGGGUAGCCGGCCUGGGAGGGUGACCGGGCACAUGGGGCCUGAGAUACGGCCCAGACGCGUACGGGAGGCAGUAGGGGGGAAUAUUGCACAAUGGGCGGAAGCCUGAUGCAGAAACGCCGCGUGCGGGAUGACGGCCUUCGGGGUGUAAACCGCUGUCGCCUGUGACGAAGCGGGAGUGACGGUAAUGGGUAAAGAAGCACCGGCUAACUACGUG